UGUUUCGGCAAGGGGGUCAUCCCGACUUACCAACCCGAUGCAAACUGCGAAUACCGGAGAAUGUUAUCACGGGAGACACACGGCGGGUGCUAACGUCCGUCGUGAAGAGGGAAACAACCCAGACCGCCAGCUAAGGUCCCAAAGUCAUGGUUAAGUGGGAAACGAUGUGGGAAGGCCCAGACAGCCAGGAUGUUGGCUUAGAAGCAGCCAUCAUUUAAAGAAAGCGUAAUAGCUCACUGGUCGAGUCGGCCUGCGCGGAAGAUGUAACGGGGCUAAACCAUGCACCGAAGCUGCGGCAGCGACGCUUAUGCGUUGUUGGGUAGGGGAGCGUUCUGUAAGCCUGUGAAGGUGUACUGUGAGGUAUGCUGGAGGUAUCAGAAGUGCGAAUGCUGACAUAAGUAACGAUAAAGCGGGUGAAAAGCCCGCUCGCCGGAAGACCAAGGGUUCCUGUCCAACGUUAAUCGGGGCAGGGUGAGUCGACCCCUAAGGCGAGGCCGAAAGGCGUAGUCGAUGGGAAACAGGUUAAUAUUCCUGUACUUGGUGUUACUGCGAAGGGGGGACGGAGAAGGCUAUGUUGGCCGGGCGACGGUUGUCCCGGUUUAAGCGUGUAGGCUGGUUUUCCAGGCAAAUCCGGAAAAUCAAGGCUGAGGCGUGAUGACGAGGCACUACGGUGCUGAAGCAACAAAUGCCCUGCUUCCAGGAAAAGCCUCUAAGCAUCAGGUAACAUCAAAUCGUACCCCAAACCGACACAGGUGGUCAGGUAGAGAAUACCAAGGCGCUUGAGAGAACUCGGGUGAAGGAACUAGGCAAAAUGGUGCCGUAACUUCGGGAGAAGGCACGCUGAUAUGUAGGUGAAGUCCCUCGCGGAUGGAGCUGAAAUCAGUCGAAGAUACCAGCUGGCUGCAACUGUUUAUUAAAAACACAGCACUGUGCAAACACGAAAGUGGACGUAUACGGUGUGACGCCUGCCCGGUGCCGGAAGGUUAAUUGAUGGGGUUAGCGCAAGCGAAGCUCUUGAUCGAAGCCCCGGUAAACGGCGGCCGUAACUAUAACGGUCCUAAGGUAGCGAAAUUCCUUGUCGGGUAAGUUCCGACCUGCACGAAUGGCGUAAUGAUGGCCAGGCUGUCUCCACCCGAGACUCAGUGAAAUUGAACUCGCUGUGAAGAUGCAGUGUACCCGCGGCAAGACGGAAAGACCCCGUGAACCUUUACUAUAGCUUGACACUGAACAUUGAGCCUUGAUGUGUAGGAUAGGUGGGAGGCUUUGAAGUGUGGACGCCAGUCUGCAUGGAGCCGACCUUGAAAUACCACCCUUUAAUGUUUGAUGUUCUAACGUUGACCCGUAAUCCGGGUUGCGGACAGUGUCUGGUGGGUAGUUUGACUGGGGCGGUCUCCUCCUAAAGAGUAACGGAGGAGCACGAAGGUUGGCUAAUCCUGGUCGGACAUCAGGAGGUUAGUGCAAUGGCAUAAGCCAGCUUGACUGCGAGCGUGACGGCGCGAGCAGGUGCGAAAGCAGGUCAUAGUGAUCCGGUGGUUCUGAAUGGAAGGGCCAUCGCUCAACGGAUAAAAGGUACUCCGGGGAUAACAGGCUGAUACCGCCCAAGAGUUCAUAUCGACGGCGGUGUUUGGCACCUCGAUGUCGGCUCAUCACAUCCUGGGGCUGAAGUAGGUCCCAAGGGUAUGGCUGUUCGCCAUUUAAAGUGGUACGCGAGCUGGGUUUAGAACGUCGUGAGACAGUUCGGUCCCUAUCUGCCGUGGGCGCUGGAGAACUGAGGGGGGC
Molecule: ribosomal RNA, 1779 nt
Filed under: Escherichia coli
Lineage: Bacteria; Pseudomonadati; Pseudomonadota; Gammaproteobacteria; Enterobacterales; Enterobacteriaceae
Description: partial 23S ribosomal RNA
Rfam family: Bacterial large subunit ribosomal RNA
Source: RNAcentral